AACGUAUUAGGCCAUCUCUCUCCAUUUUCUCUUUAUUCUUUUCCAUUUUCUUUCCUUUUCUCUCUCUCUCUAAACCUCUAAACCGUACGAGAGGGCUUCUUGGGCAGAUUCUUGAGGAAGAGGUUGGGUUCUUGAUGGUUUGAUCUGAGGAGAACGUGCGGAGUCGAGGUUGUUGGCUGCGAGGAAGCUUGGCUGCGAGGAAGCUUGAGGAUAAAAAGGAAGCUAGCUUUCCUCUUCUUUUUCUUAUUCCUUUCUUCUCCUCUCUCAAGAGAGCUAUGUGGAGGGGAUUUCUUGGUGGAUUCAAGCUUUGUGCUGCAAAGAAUUUCAGCAGCAGAAGAACUUGAGGAAGCGAGGAAAAUCGGAGGAUUGAGACCCUAACUUGGAAUUGAUCGCGUACAAACCUAAUUGAGGGUAAAACGAACACGUUGGCGAAGUCGGUUCGGCAAUUCGUCGAGCCUACGCGAAGAUAUCACCAAAAGGACGGUUUCGGCAUCAAUUGUCACGAGCGCGAAAUCGCGAUUCUUGGAAAGUGCGGGAAGUGAAUUUCUCACGUUCCGGUAUCAAGUAAAGGUUACACGUGAGCGGCGCAGCGGCGCGAGGACAGGGCGUAGCUCCGUAGAUAGCGCCCUACCACCGAGACCAGUGAUAGAAGUACCCUGAAGAGGUCCAGCUCAGAGUUCCAAUUGGAAAGAAACAAAUUUGUAGUAAUUUGUAUAAGUUUGUAAUAACUUAAAGGCACAUUUGGUUAUGUAAAUGUAAACUAUUGUAAAUGUCUAAAGAAUCUGUGAGUUGAAUGCUUGUAAUAGCGUAGUUAGCAUUUUAUGUUUUUGAUACUA
Molecule: long non-coding RNA, 836 nt
Organism: Ananas comosus (pineapple)
Lineage: Eukaryota; Viridiplantae; Streptophyta; Magnoliopsida; Poales; Bromeliaceae
Exons: 3
Source: RefSeq, a predicted model, not a curated record